RNA transcript from Triticum dicoccoides, 2135 nucleotides. It is a transcript of the gene named protein ELC-like, with no coding region annotated. The transcript is spliced from 4 exons. The record is from RefSeq and is a predicted model, not a curated record. Lineage: Eukaryota; Viridiplantae; Streptophyta; Magnoliopsida; Poales; Poaceae.
CCCUCCUUCCCCUUCCUGUCGUGCACUCUUCUUCCUCCUUCCCCCAAAUAUCCACAAAGAAGGCAGGAGGACCAAACCCUAGCCGCCGCCCCGAUCCGAUGGCGCCGUCCCCGUCCCCGCCGCCGCCGGCGAGCGGAGCGCAGUACGCGCACCAGUUCCUCAACACCGCCCUCUCCCAGCGGGGACCCUCGGCGCUCCCCUACGCGGAGGACGUCAAGUGGCUCAUCCGCAACCACCUCGUCGCCCUCGCCGACGCCUUCCCCUCGCUCCACCCCAAGGCGGCCCUCUUCACCCACAACGACGGCCGCGCCGCGCACCUGCUCCAGGCCGACGGCACCGUCCCCAUCCACCACGCCGGCGCCACCUACAACCUGCCCGCCGUCAUCUGGCUGCCCGAGACCUACCCGCGCUCCCCGCCCCUCGUCUUCCUCUCCCCCACCCGCGACAUGCUCAUCAAGCCCCACCACCCGCUCGUCGACCGCUCCGGCCUCGUCGCCAACGCGCCCUACCUCCGCUCCUGGGUCUUCCCCUCCUCCAACCUCCUCGACCUCGUCAGAUCCCUCUCCCACCUCUUCGGCCUCGACCCGCCGCUCUUCACCAGAUCCGUCGCAGCCCCGUCUCCCACUCCUCCUCCCGCUCAUCCUGCUCCUCCUCCCGCCGCCGCCGCCUCCCCCGCCAUGCGCCCCGAGGCCGUCUACGCCCCUGUCCCUCGCCCAUACAGGUUCCCGGCAUCGCCCCAGCUCGCCGCGCGCCAGCCGCCCACAGAGGACCCAGCCGAGGUCUUCAAGCGCAACGCCAUCUCCAAGCUCGUCGAUACCGCCUAUGCUGCCGCUGCCGCUCUGCGCACCGCCCGCGAGGCCGAGGUCGACUCCCUCUUCGCUGUGCAGGCCGAGCUGCGUGGCCGGGGGGAGGCGGUGAACGACGGGGUGCGCAGGAUCACGGAGGAGAAGGAGACGCUCGAGCGUCGGCUUCAGGAUGUGGUGAUGGCCACUGACGUCAUUGAAGCCUGGGUUGCCGAGAACCGCAAGGGGGCUGCCGACGACACCGCCGAGGUGGAGGGGGGCAUCCAGCCAGCUGACGUGCUGUCCAGGCAGAUGCUUGAGUGCACAGCUACUGAUUUUGCGCUUGAGGACACCAUCUACGCGCUUGACAAGGCUGUUCAGGAAGGAUCGGUGCCAUUCGAUGGCUACCUCAGGAGCGUGCGCGCACUUGCACGGGAGCAGUUCUUCCAGCGUGUCCUCUGCACCAAGGUUAACAAUGCGCAACAGCAGGCGCAGGUCGCUAGGAUGGCGGCACGGGCACCACAGUACGCCUCCUAGCCAAGAUGAUGGAUAGGCGAUCAAGGAUGCUUUCCUUGAGAAAAAGAAUCAUCUGUGCUAUCUCAUAUGAGUGAUCUUGCCCCCACAGUGUUCUGGAUAUACAGGGCUGCAACAUUGUUCUUCUUGAAAAGUUCCAGACUAAACUGUACGUGUACUGAUUUCCUGGUACGCCGGACUUUGGAAUGCCGCAUGAUUAAUUCCACAUUGGAACGCUGAGCAUGUGAACUUCAGCUUCUUAGUAUUUUCUCAACCUGGUCAUAUAUACUUUAUACUACCUAUGUUAGCAAACUCUCAUUUUUGAAUGGUUAUUAGUGCUGCUCUACGGAAAUAAUAGGUUGGUGCUGCAAUAGGCUUUCAGAUUAUGUCCUUAUUUGUCUAAUAUAUGCUAGAAAGAAGGAAUUUUCUGAAGAAUGCUUGAAAUGCAGAGUUCAGCAAACAAAUGACAAUUAUUUGUCCCCUUGGGAAGCUCUCACACAAUCGGGCAACUCGAUCUCUACGACGCCAAAAGAACAUCAUUUAUUGAGGAUCUGCGUCACACAGAGGAUCAGACUCAUAGGGUUACCCAGCCAAAAAACUCUGAUGUAGUAUGAGUAUUGCUUCGUCAGUGUGGUAAGCAAAGAUGAGAGUAUUGGCUCAUCAGUGUAGGAUCUGUUUCUCUAUAAACUUGGUCAAACAUAGUAAUUCUUGUCGACGAGGAUUUCUAAAGGUCAAACAUAGUAAUCUUUGACCAAGUUUAUCGAGAAAAUCAUUUAUAUCUACAAUACCAAGCAUAUACAAACAGUACGAAAAUAUACCUUAUGAUGUAUCUAUUGAUAU